AAACAUCGCCUCUUGAAUGAAAUAAGAGGUACUACCUGCUCAAUGCUUACGUAAAUAGCCGCAGUAUUUUGACUGUGCUAAGGUAGCAUAAUCAUUAGUCUUUUAAUUGAAGGCUGGUAUGAAUGGCAAGACGAGAAAAAAGCUGUCUCUAUUAAAAUUGUGAAUUUCAUUUUUUAGUGCAAAAGCUAAAAUGAUCUUAAAGGACGAUCAGACCCUAUGGAGUUUUAACUUUAUUUUUUGAAUGUGCUAUUAUUAGAUAGUUGUUUUAAGAGAGGGGUUUUGUUGGGGCGACAGGAAUUUAAGAAUAACUCUUCUUUAAUUAAACUUAAGUUAAAGGAAAAUUGAUCCCCGCUGAGGGAUUAAAAGACUAAGUUACCCUAGGGAUAACAGCGUAAUCUUUUUGGAGAGUUCAUAUCGAUAAAAACGUUUGUGACCUCGAUGUUGGAUUAAGAGUUUAACGGGGUGUAGCAGUUCCGUUGCAAAGUCUGUUCAACUUUUAAUAUCUUACAUGAUCU
RNAcentral lists this ribosomal RNA (515 nucleotides) under Moinidae sp. LACM RW17.110.3487. RNAcentral describes it as "partial large subunit ribosomal RNA". It matches the Rfam family "Bacterial large subunit ribosomal RNA", at positions 1811 to 2606 of the family's 2925-position model. The record is from RNAcentral. Lineage: Eukaryota; Metazoa; Arthropoda; Branchiopoda; Diplostraca; Moinidae.